AAGGCCACAACGGCAAUAUGGGUUGCUGCUCACCGUCGCGCCGCCACCUUCUCUGACUGUGAUGGCCACCAAAGGAUUGACGCCAAUGAUCCUCAACAGCCACCUUCUACCCAUUUGCCGCUGAUAUAGAUGUUUUUUAAUUGCUUGAAAAACUGCAACAUAACCCACUAUACAUCAGUGUUUGCUUGCUCUAAACUUUUAGUUCUCCAUCUGGUUCUUCAGUUAUGUUGAUUGCAGACAAACAGCUGUCAAUUUCAUGUGGCCCAAAAGGGCCCCUUCUCGUGCGGUUACAUCACACGCAAGGAGGAGUAGAGGAAGUAUGUAGGUAUGUACGAGUAAGAAUCUUUUCCCAUGCAUAAUUAGUACUCCAAAGGUUAUGGAUAUUUUCAGUGUACGCCAUGUGCGAUUUUAUCAGUACACACCCUUAAAAAAUUCAUGUUGUGUAUGUUUGUUCUUUUCAGUGUAUUUGCAAGAUAGUAAAAAUAAUUUAUUGUGCAGGUUGCACUUCUAUUAAGAAACUAUCAGCGUGAACCGCUGGACUUAAACUGCCAAAUAUGUUCUUGAUCACCAACAGGUAUAUUGCUCUCCUUAUACACACAUAUGUUGCUGUUUUUUAUUAAAAAUAAAAUCCAUCGUCCUGAUAGCAAACGGUAUUUAGUUUUCUAGACACUUUAUGUGUAAUUUGUCCUAGGUAUUUGAUAGUUGUGAUCUUCAAGCCAUUUCAACAAAAUCUAAAAAGUGGGAACUGGUGUUUUGGAAGCAAAAUACAAAGCAACUAAGACGAAACAAAAGACUUAGCAACAAAAUCUAUAGUGGAAACUGAUAUUCAAGCCAUUUCAUCUGUUAUUGGUUAUUGAUUGUUCAGUGACCAAACUGCCGUUAGUUAAUUCUGAUUUUGAUUAUAGCUCAUAACAACUUAAAGACGUCGUAAUAUAAAUAUAGCAAAUAUUAUGGUAUAUUUCCUACAGAGGUUAAGCAGAGCUGAUCUAAAGAAUUCAGAUAACUCUGUGCAACAGUGUGAAACUAUUUGAAGUACAUUUUUCUCUUAUAUAAAACCAACCAAAGGAGGAGUGAGUCCAUUAGGUUUUUCUGUGAUAAAAAGACUGUAGACAACUUCAUGAGAAAAAAAUGGCAGCUUUAUCUUGACGAUUACAGUUUCCAGUCUAGCUCAGGUGUUUCAUGGAUUCUGAAAUAUCUAUUCUUGAACCCUACUGAAGUGGCCUUCUUUCUGAGGAAAAUAGUUCACGAAUGGAUUACUUGGAAGGCAAAACUUUACAGUUCCUUCCAAGUGAAAUUACUUGCAAAAUACAGAAUUCAGGAGAUAUUAUUCCAGAUUCUGAAAACCAUGCUUCAAUCAUGUAACCACUAUCUAUUUCCACCAUUGAAACUUCUCUGCUAUUUUCUUUAGAGGCAUAUGGGACCUCUGAAAUCAAUGAAACUUGACUAUCAUGAUAUAUUUCUUCACUGAUUCUUUUUUAUCAUGGAACUUAACUAUCCAGUGUGUGUAGUGGCAAAUAGAUGCUUAAUGGUACUGCUACAUGAUUAGGAUAGCAACAUAAUUAGGCUUCUUACCUGCAGUAGAUACAUCCAAGAGUAUACAACAACCAGGAGUACUUCAGACUCCUUUUCAGAACCAUCUAAUGCUUUUUGCUUGGUUGUAAUGGAUCGUCGUUUAACAAAAACACGUGCAGAAAAUCUCUUGUCAACUGAUAGAUCCCUGAACUUGAGAUAUUGGGAAAACACUUGUAGAAACUCUUUAGAUCUGGAGAAGAGAAAUGAAGAGCUCUAUAGCUGAACAAGGAUC
This 1804-nucleotide long non-coding RNA is filed under the name Triticum aestivum (bread wheat). RNAcentral describes it as "long non-coding RNA (TAES_LNC007015)". The record is from RNAcentral. Lineage: Eukaryota; Viridiplantae; Streptophyta; Magnoliopsida; Poales; Poaceae.